GACGAACGCUGGCGGCGUGCUUAACACAUGCAAGUCGAACGGAAAGUCCCUGCUUUUGUGGGGUGCUCGAGUGGCGAACGGGUGAGUAACACGUGAGUAACCUGCCCUUGACUUUGGGAUAACUUCCGGAAACUGGGGCUAACACCGGAUAAGAGCUCCUGCUGCCUGGUGGGGGUUGGAAAGUUUCGGCGGUUGGGGGUGGACUCGCGGCUUAUCAGCUUGUUUGUGGGGGAGUGGCUUACCAAGGCUUUGACGGGUAGCCGGCCUGAGAGGGUGACCGGCGACAUUGGGACUGAGAUACGGCCCAGACUCCUACGGGAGGCAGCAGUGGGGAAUAUUGCACAAUGGGCGGAAGCCUGAUGCAGCAAAGCCGCGUGCGGGAUGACGGCCUUCGGGUUGUAAACCGAUUUCGCCUGUGACGAAGCGUGAGUGACGGUAAUGGGUAAAGAAGCACCGGCUAACUACGUG
Molecule: ribosomal RNA, 468 nt
Filed under: uncultured bacterium
Lineage: Bacteria
Description: partial 16S ribosomal RNA
Rfam family: Bacterial small subunit ribosomal RNA
Source: RNAcentral